RNAcentral lists this ribosomal RNA (466 nucleotides) under uncultured bacterium. RNAcentral describes it as "partial 16S ribosomal RNA". It matches the Rfam family "Bacterial small subunit ribosomal RNA", at positions 29 to 507 of the family's 1533-position model. The record is from RNAcentral.
ACGAACGCUGGCGGCGUGCUUAACACAUGCAAGUCGAACGGAAAGGCCUCUUUCUGGGGGUACUCGAGUGGCGAACGGGUGAGUAACACGUGAGUAACCUGCCCUUGACUGUGGGAUAACUUCAGGAAACUGGGGCUAAUACCGGAUAGGAGCUCCUGCUGCAUGGUGGGGGUGGGAAAGUUUCGGCGGUUGGGGAUGGACUCGCGGCUUAUCAGCUUGUUGGUGGGGUAGUGGCUUACCAAGGCUUUGACGGGUAGCCGGCCUGAGAGGGUGACCGGCCACAUUGGGACUGAGAUACGGCCCAGACUCCUACGGGAGGCAGCAGUGGGGAAUAUUGCACAAUGGGUGGAAGCCUGAUGCAGCAACGCCGUGUGCGGGAUGACGGCCUUCGGGUUGUAAACCGCUUUCGCUCAUGACGAAGCUUUGUGUGACGGUAGUGGGUAAAGAAGCACCGGCUAACUACGUG